This 252-nucleotide unclassified non-coding RNA is filed under the name uncultured Flavobacteriaceae bacterium. Its description in RNAcentral is "contains 16S-23S intergenic spacer region". It matches the Rfam family "Bacterial small subunit ribosomal RNA", at positions 524 to 776 of the family's 1533-position model. The record is from RNAcentral. Lineage: Bacteria; Pseudomonadati; Bacteroidota; Flavobacteriia; Flavobacteriales; Flavobacteriaceae.
UACGGCGGAUCCAAGCGUUAUCCGGAAUCAUUGGGUUUAAAGGGUCCGUAGGCGGGCGUGUAAGUCAGGGGUGAAAGUUUGUGGCUCAACCAUAAAAUUGCCUUGAUACUGCAUGUCUUGAGUCAUGGUGGGGUCGCCGGAACAUGUGGUGUAGCGGUGAAAUGCAUAGAUAUCACAUAGAACACCGAUCGCGAAGGCAGGUGGCCAACCAUGUACUGACGCUGAUGGACGAAAGCGUAGGUAGCGAACAGG